RNA transcript from Cucurbita moschata (crookneck pumpkin), 1692 nucleotides. It is a transcript of the gene named probable protein phosphatase 2C 11, with no coding region annotated. The record is from RefSeq and is a predicted model, not a curated record. The transcript is spliced from 5 exons. Lineage: Eukaryota; Viridiplantae; Streptophyta; Magnoliopsida; Cucurbitales; Cucurbitaceae.
CUUUAAUAGAUCUUCCAAUUUUGUGGGCAUGGUUUUUCCCAUGUUUGUUUCAAUAUAUCAACAUAUCAUCCUUACUAAUUGAAGUUCUAAAACUAUACUUUUGACAAAUUUAAACACUUUGUUUCUCUUAAUUGGUCUAAUUUGUCAUCUUUCUCGCUUUCAUUUUCUGCUACUUGAGUGAUGCUGUAAUAUUAUGGUAGAACAAGAGGAUGAACUUAAACUAUUGAAUGUACUACUUCCUCCGAUUAGAGGACCAAAUUAAAGUGGUAUUAUUUCUUACUGAACUAUUUCAUUUUAAAAGACUUCAUUAUUUAGUUAUAUCAAUUAUUUAUUCAUACCCCUAAAUUUCAGGCAUUUGGGGCAUUUGGGAGAAAUUUGUCUGUAUGAUUAGAUUGAUUAAUUGGAGUUUAAAUAUGCUUAAUCUAGAAGAACGCAUUGAACUAAACUCGGAAUGUAUGCAUGAUUAAAGCGAUAACACUGAGGAGUGGAAGCACAUGGUGCCCCCUAGAAAGCGUGUUGUCGGUGAUUAGUAUCAGAAUGAAACUACACCUAUUCAUGAGGCUACAAAGUCUUCUAUUUCCUUUCUUCCUUUUCUCCUUCUCAUAGUUGUUACCCUCACUGAUCUGGUAAAAAGGCCGUUUGUGUAGGGGGAUUAUAUAUGCAUUGUAACUUGCUACUGUGAAUAGAAGGUGGAGACAUAUGUAGUGAAGAGGACAAAGGGAUGGGAAGAAAACUCAAGCCUAAUCCUAUGCCGUGUUUUCUUUUGUUGAGCAGGUCUGAAUUGAUAGAAAAUAAAGUUUGCAAAUAGUUGGCAUAGUUGUUACUAGCUGAGCUGUAGUUUAUCUACACUCCAAUCGGGUGCUACAAAAAGAUCUUAAGGGGACUUUAGACUUGCAAAACUACUCAAUAUAGAAGACCUUGCUUCAUCAUCAUCGGUAAGGAUGCAAUCAUUGUCUUGUCAUAAUUUCUUAGUAGAGAUGAUUUAAAGAAAUUAUGUGGGGAUAAUUUUCCUGAAUGGAUCUUCUUCUCCGCUUAUGAGCAGGUUACUUUUCCUUUUCUUUUUAUGUUUCUCCUUUUACUCUUUGUUGAUCAUUAUUGUUGUGUUGUUCUAUAAUUUAGAAUGAUGAUACCUGUGAUGGAAGAAUGAUAAGUUACUUUUUGUUUGUUUUAACAUUAAUGGUAAUUCUGGAAAUAUCGGAGAUGAUGUUACUCGAUAUGAUAGCUUUCCAGUGUGAUGCAUGGACGCUCCUUCUUUUCUCCAGUUUAAUAGACACAUUGAUGUACUUGGGUCAAGAACAACUGGAUACCUUAAGCGCAAUCUUUUCAAUAACCAAAGUAGCCAUCGGGCCUUUAUCAAAGACACAAAGACAGCUAUUACAGAGGUUUUUAAACAUGCAAACUAUAUUAAAGAAGAUAGAGGCCAGCAGAAAGAUGUCGGGUCAACUGCUGUCCUAUUAGGGGAUCGUCUCUUUGUUGCUAAUGUUGAAUAGUCCAGAAUAGUUGUAUCUAGAGUUGGUUCAGGUUGCCUAUUAUUUUUUUUUCUGUCAAUAGAUGAUUUUGGGAUAGAGGACUUGCACUUCAAAGUCGUGACAUGAUAACGGUUCCUUGAAAAUCAUUGCAAGUAGUGGAGAAUAUUUUAUCUUGUAUAGUUUGUAUAACUUUAUUUUAGGAAAUGAUGGAAUACUACUCUUG